Molecule: ribosomal RNA, 461 nt
Filed under: uncultured bacterium
Lineage: Bacteria
Description: bacterial SSU rRNA
Rfam family: Bacterial small subunit ribosomal RNA
Source: RNAcentral
UACGGAAGGCAGCAGUGGGGAAUAUUGCACAAUGGGCGAAAGCCUGAUGCAGCUAUGCCGCGUGUAUGAAGAAGGCCUUAGGGUUGUAAAGUACUUUCAUCGGGGAGGAAAAAACAAAACUAAUAAUUUUAUUUCUUGACGUUACCCGAAAAAGAAGCACCGGCUAACUCCGUGCCAGCAGCCGCGGUAAUACGGAGGGUGCUAGCGUUAAUCAGAAUUACUGGGCGUAAAGAGCACGUAGGUGGUUUUUUUAAAGUCAGAUGUGAAAUCCCUGGGCUUAACCUAGGAACUGCAUUUUGAAACUGAAAUACUAGAGUAUCGUAGAGGGAGGUAGAAUUCUAGGUGUAGCGGUGAAAUGCGUAGAUAUCUGGAGGAAUACCUGUGGCGAAAGCGGCCUCCUAAACGAAUACUGACACUGAGGUGCGAAAGCGUGGGGAGCAAACAGGGAUUUAGAUACCCGU